GGGACCAAGAAGAUGAAAAGCAUUUUGUUUGCCCGAAGUACCAGAUUCCAAGUGUCUAAGUUGCAGAUGGCCAUAUGGAUGUCUUCAGAUUUAGUUUUUUCACGUUUAACCACUCUAGAAAAUAUGCAGAUAUCAACCUAUAUGGCAUACAUAUUGUCAUUAAUUGAUAAGCAGUGGCAGACACUUUUAGGGGAGGGGAUUAAUAAGAUCGAGGACAUACAGGUAUGACCUUUUUUGUGGUAAGCCAUUGGUGGUAACUGGUAAUCUUAUUUCUUUAAGCUUUUGCAGUUGACUUCAUGCAAUAUGUAGCUUACUUUUCAUCCCCCAAUGCACUCAUUGUUGAAAAGUAAUAAUACAGCAUUGUUUAAUAGUUUUCA
Molecule: non-coding RNA, 377 nt
Organism: Paramuricea clavata
Lineage: Eukaryota; Metazoa; Cnidaria; Anthozoa; Malacalcyonacea; Plexauridae
Source: the annotation of a GenBank genome assembly